This 311-nucleotide long non-coding RNA is filed under the name Olea europaea (common olive). RNAcentral describes it as "long non-coding RNA (OEUR_LNC014042)". The record is from RNAcentral. Lineage: Eukaryota; Viridiplantae; Streptophyta; Magnoliopsida; Lamiales; Oleaceae.
AUUCGAGUCUGAACGACGUUACAGACGAACUUCGUUAACUGAGCAAUAGAUCCCUUCUGCAAAUUUAUCCGUUCGGACCAAUUCGUUCUUUUGGGUCGCCAGCAUUGCCUGCUGGAGAAGCGGCCCAUCCGAUAACAGGAUCCGAUACUGCUCGUUAUUGCUAUUCUGGUUCCAAGAACUUGUAUCAAAAUCUGCUCAUGAUUGGAGAAGCGAUCAAUUCGUUUUUAGACGAGACAGACUGGAGAGAUGAGAGACGGAGGGAGAGACUGAAUUUUCUAGAAAAAAACCAAAUCUUGCUCCACCAGUUGCAU